AGGACGAACGCUGGCGGCGUGCUUAACACAUGCAAGUCGAACGGGGUCCAACUCUUCGCAAGAAGAGGGAAGACCUAGUGGCGAACGGGUGCGUAACACGUGAGGAACCUGCCCCGAAGACCGGGACAACACCGGGAAACCGGUGCUAAUACCGGAUGUCCCCAUCGAAUCGCAUGGUUUGAUGAGGAAAUGGAUUCCGCUUUGGGAGGGCCUCGCGGCCUAUCAGCUUGUCGGUGAGGUAACGGCUCACCAAGGCUUCGACGGGUAGCUGGUCUGAGAGGACGACCAGCCACACUGGGACUGAGACACGGCCCAGACUCCUACGGGAGGCAGCAGUGGGGAAUCUUGCGCAAUGGGCGAAAAGCCUGACGCAGCAACGCCGCGUGCGGGAUGAAGGCCUUCGGGUUGUAAACCGCUUUCAGUAGGACGAAAUUGACGGUACUGCAGAAGAAGCCCGGCCAACUACGUGCCAGCAGCCGCGU
RNAcentral lists this ribosomal RNA (482 nucleotides) under uncultured soil bacterium. Its description in RNAcentral is "bacterial SSU rRNA". It matches the Rfam family "Bacterial small subunit ribosomal RNA", at positions 26 to 520 of the family's 1533-position model. The record is from RNAcentral.